CCUACGGGAGGCAGCAGUGGGGAAUAUUGCACAAUGGGGGAAACCCUGAAGCAGCGACGCCGCGUGAGUGAAGAAGUAUUUCGGAUUGUAAAGCCCUAUCAGCAGGGAAGAAAAUGACGGUACCUGAUUAAGAAGCACCGGCUAACUACGUGCCAGCAGCCGCGGUAAUACGUAGGGGGCAAGCGUUAUCCGGAUUCACUGGGUGUAAAGAGCGCGUAGGCGGCAGAACAAGUCAGGAGUGAAAUGCUGUGGCUUAACCACAGAACUGCAUUUGAAACUGUUAAGCUAGAGUGCGGGAGAGGUAGGUGGAAUUCUUGGUGUAGCGGUGAAAUGCGUAGAGAUCAAGAGGAAUACUAAUUGCGAAGGUGGCUUGCUGGACUAUAACUGACGCUGAGGCUCGAAAGCGUGGGGAGCAAACAGGAUUAGAUACCCUGGUAGUC
Molecule: ribosomal RNA, 440 nt
Filed under: uncultured bacterium
Lineage: Bacteria
Description: partial 16S ribosomal RNA
Rfam family: Bacterial small subunit ribosomal RNA
Source: RNAcentral